This 999-nucleotide long non-coding RNA is filed under the name Homo sapiens (human). Its description in RNAcentral is "HSALNT0299460". Lineage: Eukaryota; Metazoa; Chordata; Mammalia; Primates; Hominidae. The record is from RNAcentral.
GUUUGUUCCCUCCAGAUCUCAUGUUGAAAUGUAAUCCCCAGUGUUGGAGGAGGGGCCUCGUGGGAGGUGUUAGGGUCCUGGAGGUGGAUCCCUCAUGAGCGGCUUAGCACUAUCCCCUCGGUGAAGACUGAGUUUUCAGUUCAUGCGAGAUCUGAUUGUUUAAAAGAGUGCAGCACUUCCUCCACCUUGCUCCCUCUCUUGCCACUGAUGUGCCUGCUUCCCCUUCACCUUCUGCCUGGAUUGUAAGCUCCCUGAGAACCUCACCAGAAGCAGAUGCCAGCACCACGCUUCCUAUACAGCCUGCCAAAAUCAUCCCGCCUCCAGAGCCCUGUGGGUUGAAGACCGCUGUGCUCUUUUCUUUCGGCUUCACACGCUGGUUAGUCUUCUGUUUGCUUUGUCAGCACGGUACUUUUCAUUUCCUUCGUGGUGUUUUUAGGAGCUCCUGAAUUUCACAGACAAAUCCAGACCCCUGUGUGGAAAGCCUGCGGUGGUGUUCUCCGUCUUCCCACAGGACUCCCUGCAGCCAGGAAUUCUAGGGGAGCACCUGACGCGAGGUAUACGCCCAGAUGGCCUGAAGUAACUGAAGAAUCACAAAAGAAGUGAAAAUGUCCUGCCCCGCCUUAACUGAUGACAUUCCACCACAAAGGAAGUGUCAAUGGCUGGUCCUUGCCUUAACUGAUGACAUUCCACCGCAAAAGAAGUGAAAAUGGCCGGUCCUUGCCUUAACUGAUGACAUUACACCACAAAAGAAGUGAAAAUGGCCGGUCCUUGCCUUAAGUGAUGGCAUUACCUUGUGAAAGUCCUUUUCCUGGCUCAUUCUGGCUCAAAAUCACCCCCACUGAGCACCUUGUGACCCCCACUCCUGCCCGCCAGGGAACAAUCCCCCUUUGACUGUAAUUUUCCUUUACCUACCCAAAUCUUAUAAAAUGGCCCCACCCCUAUCUCCCUUUGCUGACUCUCUUUUUGGACUCAGCCUGCCUGCAUCCAGGUGAUUAAAAG